This 460-nucleotide ribosomal RNA is filed under the name uncultured bacterium. Its description in RNAcentral is "partial 16S ribosomal RNA". It matches the Rfam family "Bacterial small subunit ribosomal RNA", at positions 338 to 795 of the family's 1533-position model. The record is from RNAcentral.
CCUACGGGUGGCAGCAGUGAGGAAUAUUGGUCAAUGGACGCAAGUCUGAACCAGCCAUGCCGCGUGCAGGAAGACGGCUCUAUGAGUUGUAAACUGCUUUUGCACGAGGGUAAACGCAGAUACGCGUAUCUGUCUGAAAUGAUGGUACGAAUAAGGAAAGGCUCACCUCGUGCCAGCAGCCGCGGGAAAACGGAGGAGUCAAGCGUUAUCUGGAUUUAUUGGGCUUAAAGGGUGACGAGGCGGGCGGAUAAGUUAGAGGUGAAAUCCCGAGGCUCAAAUUCGGAAUUGCCUCUGAUACUGGUCGGCUAGAGAGUAGUUGCGGUAGGCGGAAUGUAUGGUGUAGCGGUGAAAUGCUUAGAGAUCAUACAGAACACCGAUUGCGAAGGCAGCUUACCAAGCUACUUCUGACGUUGAGGCACGAAAGCGUGGGGAGCAAACAGGAUUAGAUACCCCGGUAGUC